GACGAACGCUGGCGGCGUGCUUAACACAUGCAAGUCGAACGGAAAGGCCUGCUUUCCCUUGUGGAUUGCGGGUACUCGAGUGGCGAACGGGUGAGUAACACGUGAGUGAUCUGCCCCCAACUUGGGUAUAAGCCUGGGAAACUGGGUCUAAUUCCCGAUAGGACUGCAGGGUGGUGCCUGUGGUGGAAAACGAUUUUCUAGUGGUUGGGGAUGAGCUCGCGGCCUAUCAGCUUGUUGGUGGGGUAAUGACCUACCAAGGCGGCGACGGGUAGCCGGCCUGGGAGGGUCACACGGGAACUGGGACACGGGCCAGACCCCUACGGGAGGCGGGAGGCGGGAAUGGGGAACAAUGGACGAAGGGCGGACGCAGCAACGCCGCGCGAGGGGUGGGGGUCGACGGCUCUUGGGUUUCAAUUACUUUUGAAGAACAAAGGAGCAACUUGCUUGGAAGGUCGUUACGGUUAGUGGUCAGAAAGCCACCGCCAACUACGUG
RNAcentral lists this ribosomal RNA (493 nucleotides) under uncultured bacterium. RNAcentral describes it as "partial 16S ribosomal RNA". It matches the Rfam family "Bacterial small subunit ribosomal RNA", at positions 28 to 507 of the family's 1533-position model. The record is from RNAcentral.